UGGGGAAUUUUGGACAAUGGGGGAAACCCUGAUCCAGCCAUCCCGCGUGUGCGAUGAAGGCCUUCGGGUUGUAAAGCACUUUUGGCAGGAAAGAAACGUCGCGGGUUAAUACCCCGCGAAACUGACGGUACCUGCAGAAUAAGCACCGGCUAACUACGUGCCAGCAGCCGCGGUAAUACGUAGGGUGCAAACGUUAAUCGGAAUUACUGGGCGUAAAGCGUGCGCAGGCGGUUCGGAAAGAAAGAUGUGAAAUCCCAGAGCUUAACUUUGGAACUGCAUUUUUAACUACCGGGCUAGAGUGUGUCAGAGGGAGGUGGAAUUCCGCGUGUAGCAGUGAAAUGCGUAGAUAUGCGGAGGAACACCGAUGGCGAAGGCAGCCUCCUGGGAUAACACUGACGCUCAUGCACGAAAGCGCUGGGGAGCAAACAGGAUUAGAUACCCUGGUAGUCCACGCCCUAAACGAUGUCAACUAGCUGUUGGGGCCUUCGGGCCUUGGUAGCGCAGCUAACGCGUGAAGUUGACCGCCUGGGGAGUACGGUCGCAAGAUUAAAACUCAAAUGAAUUGAC
Molecule: ribosomal RNA, 567 nt
Filed under: uncultured bacterium
Lineage: Bacteria
Description: partial 16S ribosomal RNA
Rfam family: Bacterial small subunit ribosomal RNA
Source: RNAcentral